CGGACGGGUGAGUAACGCGUGGAAAACCUGCCGUAUACUGGGGGAUAACACUUAGAAAUAGGUGCUAAUACCGCAUAAGCGCACAGCUUCGCAUGAAGCGGUGUGAAAAACUCUGGUGGUAUACGAUGGUUCCGCGUCUGAUUAGCUAGUUGGUGGGGUAAUGGCCUACCAAGGCAACGAUCAGUAGCCGGCCUGAGAGGGUGAACGGCCACAUUGGGACUGAGACACAGCCCAAACUCCUACGGAAGGCAGCAG
RNAcentral lists this ribosomal RNA (255 nucleotides) under uncultured bacterium. Its description in RNAcentral is "partial 16S ribosomal RNA". It matches the Rfam family "Bacterial small subunit ribosomal RNA", at positions 99 to 354 of the family's 1533-position model. The record is from RNAcentral.